RNAcentral lists this transfer RNA (71 nucleotides) under Camelus bactrianus (Bactrian camel). It matches the Rfam family "tRNA". From Rfam's summary of the family: Transfer RNA (tRNA) molecules are approximately 80 nucleotides in length. Their secondary structure includes four short double-helical elements and three loops (D, anti-codon, and T loops). The record is from Rfam by way of RNAcentral. Lineage: Eukaryota; Metazoa; Chordata; Mammalia; Artiodactyla; Camelidae. RNAcentral also lists the same sequence under 2 other names.
GGGGGUAGCUCAGUGGUAGAGUGCGUGCUUAGCAUGCACGAGGUGGUGGGUUCAAUCCCCUAGUACCUCCA